UACGAAGGGUGCAAGCGUUAAUCGGAAUUACUGGGCGUAAAGCGUGCGUAGGCGGUUCGUUAAGUCUGUCGUGAAAGCCCUGGGCUCAACCUGGGAAUGGCGAUGGAUACUGGCGAGCUAGAGUGCGGUAGAGGAUGGCGGAAUUCCCGGUGUAGCGGUGAAAUGCGUAGAGAUCGGGAGGAACAUCCGUGGCGAAGGCGGCCAUCUGGACCAGCACUGACGCUCAGGCACGAAAGCGUGGGGAGCAAACAGGAUUAGAAACCCCCGUAGUCC
Molecule: ribosomal RNA, 273 nt
Filed under: uncultured bacterium
Lineage: Bacteria
Description: partial 16S ribosomal RNA
Rfam family: Bacterial small subunit ribosomal RNA
Source: RNAcentral